RNAcentral lists this ribosomal RNA (497 nucleotides) under uncultured bacterium. Its description in RNAcentral is "partial 16S ribosomal RNA". It matches the Rfam family "Bacterial small subunit ribosomal RNA", at positions 28 to 507 of the family's 1533-position model. The record is from RNAcentral.
GAUGAACGCUGGCGGCGUGCCUAAUACAUGCAAGUCGAGCGAACAGACGAGGAGCUUGCUCCUCUGACGUUAGCGGCGGACGGGUGAGUAACACGUGGAUAACCUACCUAUAAGACUGGGAUAACUUCGGGAAACCGGAGCUAAUACCGGAUAAUAUAUUGAACCGCAUGGGUCAAUAGUGAAAGACGGUUUUGCUGUCACUUAUAGAUGGAUCCGCGCCGCAUUAGCUAGUUGGUAAGGUAACGGCUUACCAAGGCAACGAUGCGUAGCCGACCUGAGAGGGUGAUCGGCUACACUGGAACUGAGACACGGUCCAGACUCCUACGGGAGGCAGCAGUAGGGAAUCUUCCGCAAUGGGCGAAAGCUUGACGGAGCAACGCCGCGUGAGUGAUGAAGGUCUUCGGAUCGUAAAACUCUGUUAUUAGGGAAGAACAAAUGUGUAAGUAACUAUGCACGUCUUGACGGUACCUAAUCAGAAAGCCACGGCUAACUACGUG